GCCUAGUUAGCUUGGUUGGUAGCGCGUCUGCCUUGUAAGCGCUAGGCCGCGGGUUCGAUUCCCGCCCGGGGCU
This 73-nucleotide transfer RNA is filed under the name Diaphorina citri (Asian citrus psyllid). It matches the Rfam family "tRNA". From Rfam's summary of the family: Transfer RNA (tRNA) molecules are approximately 80 nucleotides in length. Lineage: Eukaryota; Metazoa; Arthropoda; Insecta; Hemiptera; Psyllidae. The record is from Rfam by way of RNAcentral.